This 83-nucleotide microRNA precursor is filed under the name Gorilla gorilla gorilla (western lowland gorilla). Its description in RNAcentral is "miRNA (ENSGGOG00000032824.2)". It matches the Rfam family "mir-938 microRNA precursor family". The record is from RNAcentral. Lineage: Eukaryota; Metazoa; Chordata; Mammalia; Primates; Hominidae.
GAAGGUGUACCAUGUGCCCUUAAAGGUGAACCCAGUGCACCUUCAUGAACCGUGGUACACCUUUAAGAACUUGAUAUGCCUUC